CGUGUAGGCGGUUGUUUAAGUCUGGUGUGAAAGCCCGGGGCUCAACCCCGGAAGUGCAUUGGAUACUGGACAACUUGAGUACGGGAGAGGAAAGUGGAAUUCCGAGUGUAGGGGUAAAAUCCGUAGAUAUUCGGAGGAGCACCAGUGGCGAAGGCGGCUUUCUGGACCGAUACUGACGCUGAGACGCGAAAGCGUGGGGAGCAAACA
This 207-nucleotide ribosomal RNA is filed under the name uncultured bacterium. RNAcentral describes it as "partial 16S ribosomal RNA". It matches the Rfam family "Bacterial small subunit ribosomal RNA", at positions 568 to 774 of the family's 1533-position model. The record is from RNAcentral.